Molecule: ribosomal RNA, 433 nt
Filed under: uncultured bacterium
Lineage: Bacteria
Description: partial 16S ribosomal RNA
Rfam family: Bacterial small subunit ribosomal RNA
Source: RNAcentral
AACGAACGCUGGCGGCAUGCCUAACACAUGCAAGUCGAACGAGACCUUCGGGUCUGGUUGCGCACGGGUGCGUAACGUGUGGGAACCUUCCCUUAGGCUCGGAAUACCUCCCUUUCAGGGGUGCUAAUACCGGAUAAUGUCCUCGAACCAAAGAUUUGUCCUCCUUGGAUGAGCCCGCGUUGUACUAGCCAGUUGGUAUGGUAAAAGCCUACCACGGCGACGAUCCUUAGCUGGUCUGAGAGAAUGAUCAGCGACACUGGGACUGAGACACGGCCCAGACUCCUACGGGAGGCAGCAGUGGGGAAUAUUGGACAAUGGGCGAAAGCCUGAACAAGCAAGGGCGCGUGAGUGAUGAAGGCCUGAGGGUUGUAAAGCUGGUUUACCCGGGAUGAUAAUGACAGUACCGGGAGAAUAAGCACCGGCUAACUCCGUG